Molecule: ribosomal RNA, 375 nt
Filed under: uncultured organism
Description: partial 16S ribosomal RNA
Rfam family: Bacterial small subunit ribosomal RNA
Source: RNAcentral
GUAGGUGGCAAGCGUUGUCCGGAAUUAUUGGGCGUAAAGCGCGCGCAGGGCGGUCCUUUAAGUCUGGGUGUGAAAGCCCACGGGCUCAACCGUGGAGGGUCAUUGGAAACUGGGGGACUUGAGUACAGAAGAGGAAAGCGGAAUUCCAAGUGUAGCGGUGAAAUGCGUAGAGAUUUGGAGGAACACCAGUGGCGAAGGCGGCUUUCUGGUCUGUAACUGACGCUGAGGCGCGAAAGCGUGGGGAGCAAACAGGAUUAGAUACCCUGGUAGUCCACGCCGUAAACGAUGAGUGCUAAGUGUUAGGGGGUUUCCGCCCCUUAGUGCUGCAGCUAACGCAUUAAGCACUCCGCCUGGGGAGUACGGCCGCAAAGGCUG